RNAcentral lists this ribosomal RNA (274 nucleotides) under uncultured bacterium. RNAcentral's name for it is "partial 16S ribosomal RNA". It matches the Rfam family "Bacterial small subunit ribosomal RNA", at positions 523 to 796 of the family's 1533-position model. The record is from RNAcentral.
AUACGGAGGGUGCAAGCGUUACUCGGAAUCACUGGGCGUAAAGCGCGCGCAGGCGGCUUGAUAAGUUGGAUGUGAAAGCCUACGGCUCAACCGUAGAACUGCAACCAAAACUGUCAGGCUAGAGUGUGGGAGAGGAAGAUGGAAUUAGUUGUGUAGGGGUAAAAUCCGUAGAGAUAACUAGGAAUACCAAAAGCGAAGGCAAUCUUCUGGAACACUACUGACGCUGAGGCGCGAAGGCGUGGGGAGCAAACAGGAUUAGAAACCCCGGUAGUCC